GGGUGUGAGCGGUAUCUACGGCUUUUGGGACCGCCUUCUCCCGACGGAGUCUUUUCAAUGGACUGGAGAAAGGAAGGCUCAUCCUGCCAUUUACAAGGUCACUUUCACAUGGGUGAAAUAUUUUACAGGAUAAAUCAAGGACCAAGGAAGAUCUUCCUAGGCCCUAAACUGUGCCACCUUGGAGUGAUGUAGGAUCCCCUCAGUGAAGCAACAGAAGUGUGCCACCUGGGAGGCUGGGUGAAUGGCCAGGUCUGAGCAACUGAUGGUGAGUCCAGACCGCUGCUCCUGUCUCUCUCGGUACACGUGCCUGUGCGGUGUCACCAGUUCCAGGAAAUAAACGGGGAGUUACACGCAUGACU
This is a long non-coding RNA of Physeter macrocephalus (sperm whale), 359 nucleotides long. RefSeq lists it as uncharacterized. The record is from RefSeq and is a predicted model, not a curated record. The transcript is spliced from 4 exons. NCBI's taxonomy places the organism in Eukaryota, Metazoa, Chordata, Mammalia, Artiodactyla, Physeteridae.